RNAcentral lists this ribosomal RNA (253 nucleotides) under uncultured bacterium. RNAcentral's name for it is "partial 16S ribosomal RNA". It matches the Rfam family "Bacterial small subunit ribosomal RNA", at positions 524 to 776 of the family's 1533-position model. The record is from RNAcentral.
UACGGGGGGGGCAAGCGUUGUUCGGAAUUACUGGGCGUAAAGGGCUCGUAGGCGGCCAACUAAGUCGGAUGUGAAAUCCCCAGGCUUAACCUGGGAACUGCAUCCGAUACUGGAUGGCUUGAAUCCGGGAGAGGGAUGCAGAAUUCCAGGUGUAGCGGUGAAAUGCGUAGAUAUCUGGAGGAAUACCGGUGGCGAAGGCGGCAUCCUGGACCGAGAUUGACGCUGAUGAGCGAAAGCUAGGGGAGCAAACGGG